CCGUGUACGAGGAAGGAGUAUAUUUCGCUGUCUUCCGUGUUCCCGAAGAGCCCUUCUGAGAGCGCCAUCUCCCCCCUCUCCCCCCCCGAUCUCCAACCCCCCUUCCUCGCAUAACUGCUGCGUCGGGACAGCCGUUCAAACGCCACCGAGGAUUGGAACUAACGAUGUGUCUUAUGAAUGCCGUUGUUAUUUAGCGCGUUUAUGGUGAAUGUGACGGAGAAUAUUCUUAGAGAUAUACUAUUGGAUAAGUGUCAGUUCGGCAUUGAAGUCUCCCCGUGAACGUCUGUAAUAACGCUUACGUACACGAAUAUUUUAAGGUGGCAGGCCGGGCGCUGGGUGACGUCAUCAUGUCCCGCUACAUACUUCUCCUCGCGACCUUAGUGGCGGUGACUACCGCGCAGAGCUACCUAUCAGACUUCGCCCUCGAGCGGCCGGCGAACUUACCCUCCAUCAGGCAACUGGAGGUGAUGUGCGGCAAGGACCA
RNAcentral lists this long non-coding RNA (484 nucleotides) under Penaeus japonicus. RNAcentral's name for it is "uncharacterized LOC122263157". Lineage: Eukaryota; Metazoa; Arthropoda; Malacostraca; Decapoda; Penaeidae. The record is from RNAcentral.